This is a long non-coding RNA of Paramisgurnus dabryanus, 789 nucleotides long. RefSeq lists it as uncharacterized. The record is from RefSeq and is a predicted model, not a curated record. NCBI's taxonomy places the organism in Eukaryota, Metazoa, Chordata, Actinopteri, Cypriniformes, Cobitidae.
UUCUGUUAAUCAUCUGCUGUGUUUGCUUCAGGUAAAGAGGUGGGACAAGGAUGCUGACAGGACAGGAGGAGGUGACAUUCAGACAUUCAACGCAGACAUUUUCAUCCAAAGCAACUUGAAGAAGAAAACAGAAGCAGUUCAUCCUAAAAGUGGGCUGCUGUAAUGUUUACAUCUAUGGAAAGAGGAGCUGAGAAGAAAAGAGAGGCUGGAAAGCAGUACUUCUUGUUGAGGACAAUCCUGAAUAGGAACACUUUCUCAUAGACAUAGAUUAUUAUUAGUGUUUGAUUGUUUGUUUCAUUUUUAUGAAUUGUAUUGUUUUAAUUUUUCGUUUUAUUUGAAAUUACCUAAGUUAGAUUCAUGCUAAUACUUUAACUGGACCUUGUAUCUUUGCUGGCUGGCUGGCUGUAGAGUUGGUUUCACAUACACAUGAAGUUUCUAAUUAACUAACUUUUAAGUUCAGUUUGGUUUAAACUUGUAUUUACCCAUGGUAAUUCAUUUAAAUUUCUAUUCAUGCUUAUAUAUUAAUUUCAAUGAACUUCUGUAUUUGUGUAUAGCUGGCAAUUUGGGCAAGCUACGUUUAACACACAAAUGUAUGUCACAAAGGUUUUUUUUAUUAUCAGUUUGUUCUAAACUUUUGUUUGUUUACUAAGGAUGAAAUUGCUUUGUAAUUUAAGUUGUUGGUAGAUUCAUGCCAAUAAUGUAUUUGAACAAACUAGUAUUUUUGAUUAUUGCUGGCAGUUUAUACUAGAAGAGUUUUAACACAUACAAUGUUGUAGUGUUAUUGACUUG